Molecule: transfer RNA, 58 nt
Filed under: Ailuropoda melanoleuca (giant panda)
Lineage: Eukaryota; Metazoa; Chordata; Mammalia; Carnivora; Ursidae
Rfam family: tRNA
About the family: Transfer RNA (tRNA) molecules are approximately 80 nucleotides in length. Their secondary structure includes four short double-helical elements and three loops (D, anti-codon, and T loops).
Source: Rfam by way of RNAcentral
UGGCUCAGUUGGUAGAGCGUGUGACUCUUGAUCUCAGGGUCGUGAGUUUAAGCCCCAC